UUCAGACCGGUUCCAUUGAAGAGAAAAUCCUACAACGUCAAACGCACAAAAAGUCUUUAUCCAGUACCAUCAUUGAUAACAAUGAAAGUGAAGAAAAACAUUUCACUCGUGAUGAUCUAAAAGAUCUAUUCAGUUAUGAGGCCGACAUUUUAUCAGAUACUCACAAUAAAUUAAAAUGUAAACGUUGUGUUAAUAACAUACAAACCCAACCACCACCCGAUGAUACCGACUGUACUUCACAUUUGUCACAGUGGUAUCAUUGCUCCAAUAAUAAAGGUCUACCGGAUAGUACUUUAUCACAAGCCUGGCAAACUAGUAAAUGUAUAUCGUUUGUAUUUCAUCAUCGUUCUCAGGCGGAGGUGAAAAGAAAAUCGAAUUCACAAGAAAGUGAAAAGGAAGGAGAAGGAGUUUCGGGUGUUAAAAUACAUAAUGAAAUACAAAAUAAAACUAAAGAUUUAUCAUCAGAUGAAUUAGAAUCAGAGGAAGACGAUGACAUAGAUGAUAGUAAAGAUAGUGAUUUUGAAUAGAUUUUUUUCUGUAAUUUUAGUUUUAAAUUUGUUUUGAAAUAAAUUAUUUAAAAAAUUUAA
This is an RNA transcript of Lucilia cuprina (Australian sheep blowfly), 587 nucleotides long. RefSeq lists it as uncharacterized. The transcript is spliced from 2 exons. NCBI's taxonomy places the organism in Eukaryota, Metazoa, Arthropoda, Insecta, Diptera, Calliphoridae. The record is from RefSeq and is a predicted model, not a curated record.